Cavia porcellus (domestic guinea pig) is the source of this 135-nucleotide small nucleolar RNA. Lineage: Eukaryota; Metazoa; Chordata; Mammalia; Rodentia; Caviidae. The record is from Ensembl.
CUGGCCCUGAAUCAAGGCCAGCAGCUUCCUGACGCUGUUGGUUUCAAGCAGGAGCCUGAAGACAUGUCUUUCUAUGGUCUGUUGGCUUUUUCAGAAUUGGGCAGUGUAUGGUCAAUUCAUUAGAAACAAAGCAAC